CGGGAGGCAGCAGGUGGGGAAUAUUGCACAAUGGGCGCAAGCCUGAUGCAGCCAUGCCGCGUGUAUGAAGAAGGCCUUCGGGUUGUAAAGUACUUUCAGUCGUGAGGAAGGCGGCGUCGUUAAUAGCGGCGUUGUUUGACGUUAGCGACAGAAGAAGCACCGGCUAACUCCGUGCCAGCAGCCGCGGUAAUACGGAGGGUGCGAGCGUUAAUCGGAAUUACUGGGACGUAAAGCGCAUGCAGGUGGUUUGUUAAGUCAGAUGUGAAAGCCCCGGGGCUCAACCUCGGAAUUGCAUUUGAAACUGGCAGACUAGAGUACUGUAGAGGGGGUAGAAUUUCAGGUGUAGCGGUGAAAUGCGUAGAGAUCUGAAGGAAUACCGGUGGCGAAGGCGGCCCCCUGGACAGAUACUGACACUCAGAUGCGAAAGCGUGGGGAGCAAACAGGAUUAGAUACCCUGGUAG
Molecule: ribosomal RNA, 461 nt
Filed under: uncultured bacterium
Lineage: Bacteria
Description: bacterial SSU rRNA
Rfam family: Bacterial small subunit ribosomal RNA
Source: RNAcentral